RNAcentral lists this long non-coding RNA (1252 nucleotides) under Marmota monax (woodchuck). Lineage: Eukaryota; Metazoa; Chordata; Mammalia; Rodentia; Sciuridae. The record is from RNAcentral.
AUUGAUGUCAUUUUAUAAAAUCCUCGGGUUCGCGUCCCAGACCUUAAAACUUCAUAUCUUCUCCCUUCUCUCACUUUUCCUUCUUGCCUACAAGUAGGAUGACUCCUCCUUUAAAAAUCUGUCCCUUCCUCUACUAUUCUUCUCUCUUAUCUAUCUCCUCCAUGAUUAUCAUAUAGAUUCUUUUUAUCUCUUUUCAUUGACUCUUUUCUUAUUGAAACAUUCCCAAGAGUCCCACAUCACAAAAAAUAUCAAUGAUAACAAUAUUUUAAAAGAUGUAUUGAAACAAUAUUUUAAAAGAUGUAUUGAGUUUCUGCUAUGUGCCAUCAUCCAUGCCAACUGCUUAAAAUACAUCUUAUAUGAUUCUCACAACAACCUUAUGAGCUUAAAUUAUUAUGAAGAAAUUCAUUCUUAUGAAGAAACUGUGGUUUUAUUUUUCAUUUGUUCUUUCUAGAUACACAUGAAAGUAGAGUGUAUUUUGACAUUAUACAUACAUAGAAUGAGUAAAACUUGUUCCAGUUAAGAUCCCCAUUAUUGCCAGACAUAGUGGUACAUACUUAUAACCCCAGCAGCUCAGGAGACUGAGGCAGGAGGAUAGUGAGUUCAAAGCCAGCCUCAGCAAAAGGGAAGAGCUAAGCAACUCAGUGAGACUCUGUCUCUAAAUAAAAUACAAAAAAGGGCUGGGGAUGAGGCUCAGUGAUCAAGUGCUCCUGAGUUCAAUCCCUGGUACCAAAAAAAAAAAAAUCCCAUUAUUGUGGUUGUAUCUGAUGGGGAGUUACAUUGGUCAUGUAUUCAUAUAUAUGGAUAGGAAAAAUAUGCCUAUUCAUUCUACUGCCUUUUAUAUUUCCAUUCCUCCCUUCCCUUCAUUUCCUUUUGUCUAGUCCAAUGAACUUCUAAUCAUCCCCUGUGAUUAACAUCCACAUAAAAUCAGAGAGAACAUUCUGCCAUUGUGCCAAUCCUAAAAACCAGCAAGGGGCAAUGGGGAAUUAAGAAAGACACACAAACAUUUACAAACAGAAAGGUGGAACCAGAUGGGACACUGACCUCUGAUGGAAGAACAGUGAUCCAGAGCUAGCACAGCAUAUUUCUUAUAUAGGAUUUAUCAUCAAGAGAUUAUUUGUGGGAAAGUUUUUGCAAAUUAUGCAGGCUUGAAGGUUGCAGCAAUUGCAAGAUAUUGUGGUUAUCUUGUUAUGCUCAGAAUUCUCUAUCCCUGGCAGCUGGUGUCUGAGCUCAAGGUCAAGACUGUUAUUGUUCU